AGUGCAUCCUCUGUAGUGAAUGGGUGCCGUCACAAGAAAAUACUACAUAAUAACACUUCCUCCAGUGAAAAAGUGUUCUGGUGUGAAUCAGGAGAGAAAUCUGCACAGAUCAAGCAGUGUUUAAACAGAUCUAAACAAAUAUGUGUCUGGAUUUUGAUGUGAGAGACAACAGGAGAUGCACUUUUUCACUGGAGGAAGUGUUAUUAUGGAUUAUAGACUCUAUGUAUUUGAGUUAAAAACGUCUUAAUGCUGGAUGUGUUUCAUCUUUUGUCUUCUCCAGAUGUUAACUGAUGGACUGGAGUGCUGUGGAUUACUUGUGGAUUAUUGUGAUGUUUUUAUCAGCUGUUUGGACUCUCAUUCUGACGGCACCCAUUCACUGCAGAGCAUCCAUUGCUCAGACACUGAUGCAGUGCGACAUUUCUACAAACCUGAUGAAGAAACAAACUCAUCCUGAUCUCGGAUGAUCUGAGGGUGAGCACAUACUCAUUUUAGGCUCUCUGUCAGGUAAACAACAGGUGGAGAGCGUUCACCUUGACUCCUGCAGCCAGACUGUUUGUCACCCAUCUGCCACAUUUCAGAUCAUCACUUCUGUCUGUCUGUGUGUCAGUCUGUGUGUGUGUGUGUGUGUGUGUGUGUGUGUGUGUGUGUGUGUGGUCCAGCUGCACACUCUCAGCAGUGUGAUGGAGGUGUUUUUAUGCUGGUUUUGCUGUGGUU
Long non-coding RNA from Cyprinus carpio carpio, 714 nucleotides. NCBI's taxonomy places the organism in Eukaryota, Metazoa, Chordata, Actinopteri, Cypriniformes, Cyprinidae. The record is from Ensembl.